ACCCGUUGAUCCUGCGGGAGGAUGCUGCUAUUGGGGUCGGACUAAGCCAUGCAAGUCCAGGGGAUCCUUGAGAUCACCGGCAGACUGCUCAGUAACACGUCGAUAAUCUAACCUUAGAUUCGGAAUACCCUCGGGAAACUGAGGUUAAUACCGAAUAAGGUAUAAUUUCUGGAAUGAUUUAUACCCGAAAGGAGUCGUCUAAGGAUGAGUCGGCGGCCGAUUAGGUUGUUGGUGGGGUAAGAGCCCACCAAGCCAUUGAUCGGUAGGGGCCUUGAAAGAGGUAGCCCCGAGAAGGACACUGAGACACAGGUCCUAGCCCUACGGGGUGCAGCAGGCGCGAAACCUUUACAAUGCACGAAAGUGUGAUAAGGCGACCCCAAGUGCCAGUACUUUGUAUUGGCUUUUGCAAAGAGUAAAUAUCUUGGCGAAUAAGUGGUGGGUAAGACUGGUGCCAGCCGCCGCGGUAACACCAGCGCCACGAGUGGCGUCCACGUUUAUUGGGCCUAAAGUGUCCGUAGCCUGUUAAGACAGUCUUCUGUGAAAGUGGUGAGCUCAACUUACCGAAGUGCAGGAGAUACUACUUGACUUGAGACCGGGAGGAGUUAGAGGUAUUCUGGGGGAAGCGGUAAAAUGCGAUAAUCCUUGGAGGACCACCUGUGGCGAAGGCGUCUAACCAGAACGGGUCUGACGGUGAGGGACGAAGGCUAGGGGAGCGAUCCGGAUUAGAUACCCGAGUAGUCCUAGUAGUAAACGCUGCAAGUUAGGUGUUGCAUAACCUUCGCGGUUGUGCAGUAUCGUAGAGAAGUCGUUAAACUUGCCGCCUGGGGAGUACGGUCGCAAGGCUGAAACUUAAAGGAAUUGGCGGGGGAGCACUACAAGGAGUGCGGCGUGCGGUUUAAUCUAAUUCAACACAGAGAAUCUCACCAGAAGCGACAGCAGUAUGAAGGUCAGAUUAAAGGUUUUACCUGACAAGCUGAGAGGUGGUGCAUGGCCGUCGUCAGCUCGUGCCGUGAGGUGUCCUGUUAAGUCAGGCAACGAGCGAGACCUGCGUUUUCAAUUGCUAGCGACAAGGCAACUUGGAUCGAGCACAUUGGAGAGACUGCCUUGGAAACAAGGAGGAAGGUGCAGGCAACGAUAGGUCUGUAUGCCCCGAAUCUUCUGGGCUACACGCGCGCAACAAUGGUUGGCACAAUAGGAUGCAACUCCGAAAGGAGAAGCUAACCCCUGAAAGCUAAUCUUAGUACAGAUUGAGGAUUGUAACUCAUCCUCAUGACGCCGGAAUUCCUAGUAAUCGGACUUCAUCAAAGUCCGGUGAAUAUGUCCCUGCUCCUUGCACACACCGCCCGUCAAACCAUCCGAGCAGGGUUUAGGUGAGUUUUGGCUUAUUGGCCAAUGCGAAUCUAAGCUCAGUGAGGCGGGUUAAGUCGUCACAAGGUA
This 1437-nucleotide ribosomal RNA is filed under the name metagenome. RNAcentral describes it as "bacterial SSU rRNA". It matches the Rfam family "Archaeal small subunit ribosomal RNA". The record is from RNAcentral.